AAGCAAUGCAAACCUUCAUAUAUUAUUACGCAAAAUCACCUUUGCACAUCCUGAUCCAUCUAUCAAAGCUUCACGCAUCAUACGUAAAUGCAUGCAUGUGCCAACCGUAGCAUUGUUGCCAAUGCAUCUUGCACACCCAAGCAGAAAGAUGUGCAUGGUUUUCUAUAUCACCAGUGUUCUAGCUAACUGACAUGUAUGAAUGAGUGAAUAGAUGCGAUGAUGGGU
Molecule: non-coding RNA, 225 nt
Filed under: Zea mays
Lineage: Eukaryota; Viridiplantae; Streptophyta; Magnoliopsida; Poales; Poaceae
Source: RNAcentral